GGACUGGUAGCUCAGGGGUAGAGCGUCGGCCUGAAGAGCCGAGCGUCGGUGGUUCAAAUCCAUCCCAGUCCA
This 72-nucleotide transfer RNA is filed under the name Muribaculum intestinale. RNAcentral describes it as "tRNA-Phe". It matches the Rfam family "tRNA". From Rfam's summary of the family: Transfer RNA (tRNA) molecules are approximately 80 nucleotides in length. Their secondary structure includes four short double-helical elements and three loops (D, anti-codon, and T loops). Lineage: Bacteria; Pseudomonadati; Bacteroidota; Bacteroidia; Bacteroidales; Muribaculaceae. The record is from RNAcentral.